GCUUCAAGUCAGAGGAUCCUAGCACCUGC
RNAcentral lists this small RNA (29 nucleotides) under Bombyx mori (domestic silkworm). RNAcentral's name for it is "ovarian small RNA-17145". Lineage: Eukaryota; Metazoa; Arthropoda; Insecta; Lepidoptera; Bombycidae. The record is from RNAcentral.